UCAGAUAAAUGAUGGAGAUGGUUAGGUAGGACUUGUGGAAACUAAGAUCACCACUAUAGCGAGAGUUAGACAUGGUUAGGCAUGUGCGUGUCGCUGUGGGGCACGCACAAAGGCGUAUGCCCGCCUUCGACAAGGUCACCUUGCUGCAUGGACGAAAACCUAGGCUAUCUAUCUCAAUUAUUCAGCUAUAUUCUUGUUGGUCAGCUUGUCAAAUCCUGAGUAGUAUAUCAAGCUUAAUUAUAUGUAUACAUGUCGAGAUUGGCCUAUCUGCGACCUACUCUUUGAAGUUUGAACACCUCUAAGUUGCAUGUGAAAGUUGCCUGACUGGCUUGCUCUACGCCUGAUUAAGAACUAAGUUGUUCACCAGUAGCUAUUUGUCUGAUUUACAUUUACAACUAUGUUAUAUAUCUUCAGGUAAGGGAAAUAUUCGCAACUUUUGAGAAGAAGCUUCUGUUUGUAACAAACAGAAGAUAAAUGGACAAAACUGUACGCUAGUCCUGCACCUUACAUUUGCAAUUUGUUUGUUGUUGGAUUUCGGUGUUGCUUCAGAAAAAUCAGCUAGAUGGGUCUGCUAGAUUCAUAUGUCCACAUACUAUUUUUGCUAUGAAACAAAGUGGUUUAGAACUCAAUCUCUAGUGCUCAAAUUGUCCCUGUAAUGCUGCAAUACUUAGCAGAGAACAGUAGUUGAAAUGGAAGUAAGAUAGAGCAGUGGGUGAGCCAUUGAACAGAAGGUACAUGCACAACUACCAGUUCUCACUCUACCUCUAUAAAUCCUUCUUCACCACAAACUGCUACACCAUGUCUCGGUUUGUUCUUUCUGAUUGAGUUGUGAAGCUCUAGUUAACCAUUCAUCAGCAGCUUAGCUUGUUUUUUCAUUUUAUUUUAGUAGGAGCAAUUCAGGGUAGGAUGGAUCCACAUGGGCCUGGAGGACCGGCCUGGGGAGGCCCUGGAGGGUGGGGUCCGGUUCCACCUGGUGGGCCUGGGUUUCCUGGUGUCCCUGGUUCUUGGGGGCCUGGGUUCGGUGGAUUCUUCAGAUCCUGGUAAGUUGAAUUCUCAGCUAACUGAUGGAGAUCAUCAGUCAUUCAGUUAAAUGUCAAAUUUUUUUCCUUCUAAAAAAUCAGACUAUUCACCCUGGCAGACAAUUAGUCUGGUUCAGGGAUCAAGUGUAAUUUUUUUAGCACCAACUCAAGCUUCAAUUCCAAGCCGUGAUGCAUGUAUACUAUUAAUACUUUAAUUUUGCACCUCUGAACCCCUUUUGUUUUAUAUAUUAAUAAACCUGCAACUCUGAACAAGUGUUUCUUCUGCAGCUUCUAUCUCCUGUGCUGCUGCUGCCUGCUCCAAGAUUGCUGCGGCCCUCUCUUCGGACGACCGGGCCCUGGCGGCCCGCCACCCCCUUUCUGAUAGCCUGCGGAGCUUCUGGCUACAAGAAACAACUCAUUCGACCACAAUUCCUAGACUAA
This 1460-nucleotide long non-coding RNA is filed under the name Triticum aestivum (bread wheat). RNAcentral's name for it is "long non-coding RNA (TAES_LNC027998)". The record is from RNAcentral. Lineage: Eukaryota; Viridiplantae; Streptophyta; Magnoliopsida; Poales; Poaceae.